Non-coding RNA from Chelonoidis abingdonii (Abingdon island giant tortoise), 1074 nucleotides. The record is from RefSeq and is a predicted model, not a curated record. NCBI's taxonomy places the organism in Eukaryota, Metazoa, Chordata, Testudines, Testudinidae.
AGCUGCAUUUUGUGCUGAUGCAAACCCUCUCAUGAAGAAGCACUUGCUGCUGAAAUGAUCCUCUAGCCAGGAAUGCUGGAUGAGCAGCUGCCUGUGGACUGGUGCCAGUGCUGCACUAGAAACUGGAAAACAAGACAGGCUGGCCUGCUCCCACAUCUCCUCCAGGAGACAGAUGAAGAGAUGGACCCAUUCUCUACUGGCCACUGAUCUGGGGACUCAAGUCCACCUCCAAACUGCCGCUGAGAUCUGAAUUGACAAUGAUGGCCCCCCUGACUAAGCAUGAAUGGUACCAACUUAUGUUUCCUAUUUCUGUGGCAGGAUUUUGAUCAUUAGAGUCUAAAAUGUGAAUGCCAGCUCCGUAAGACACCAACUUUAACUCUGAAUGCAUUCCUAGGAGUGAAGUUCUGUGCAUUAUGCAGCAGGUCACAUAGUAACAUCACACAGUUCAAGUUUCUAGGCGAGGGAGAGAGAUAAAAUAAUUCUGCUGUAACACCACAAUGCAUACAUGAAUAAAUACAAUUCUAAAUUCAGUGAAAUAUUUUCCUUCCUCUGCUACUCCCACAGUUAAUGAAUACACUAGCAAUUAAUUACUGUGCUCAGCAACUCGCUUCAGCAAUUAUUUAAUUGAUUCACUUUUAGUCCCUGGCCUAGUAACCUUUCAGAGAAUUUUCAGAGGCCUGAAAUAAAAAGCAUAAAAAUAUAUGGGUUUGCUCAUUUUAAUAUUUGUAACUGUUACCGCUUGCAAACAUUGGCAACAAUGUACUGUUCUGUUUAUGCUCGUUGUAGUGUUUAAAGAGCACUAAUAUCAGGCACCUAUACAACUCAAAAUAAGUGGUCAUACUCAAUGUAGUAUACUUGUAUGUAAUACCUUAAAACUAAAAUACUAACCAAUAUCUGCUACCGCAUCUUCCUAAUUUUCAAUUAUUAGAGUUAGUAGAGAAAAAGGAUUAAAUCCUGGAUCCCCAAAGUCAAUGGGAAUUUUGCCAUUGACUCUAUUGGGACCAGGAUGUCACCCAAUGUCUGUUUUGUACAUUUCCUGGGGAUUAAGAAUUAAAACAACUGAAGUGGGGCUCA